RNAcentral lists this ribosomal RNA (503 nucleotides) under uncultured bacterium. RNAcentral's name for it is "partial 16S ribosomal RNA". It matches the Rfam family "Bacterial small subunit ribosomal RNA", at positions 30 to 523 of the family's 1533-position model. The record is from RNAcentral.
AUUGAACGCUGGCGGCAGGCUUAACACAUGCAAGUCGAGCGGGGUGAUGGUGCUUGCACUAUCACUUAGCGGCGGACGAGUGAGUAAUGCUUAGGAAUCUGCCUAUUAGUGGGGGACAACAUCUCGAAAGGGAUGCUAAUACCGCAUACGUCCUACGGGAGAAAGCAGGGGAUCACUUGUGACCUUGCGCUAAUAGAUGAGCCUAAGUCGGAUUAGCUAGUUGGUGGGGUAAAGGCCUACCAAGGCGACGAUCUGUAGCGGGUCUGAGAGGAUGAGCCGCCACACUGGGACGGAGACACGGCCCAGACUCCUACGGGAGGCAGCAGUGGGGAAUAUUGGACAAUGGGGGGAACCCUGAUCCAGCCAUGCCGCGUGUGUGAAGAAGGCCUUAUGGUUGUAAAGCACUUUAAGCGAGGAGGAGGCUCUUUUGGUUAAUACCCAAGAUGAGUGGACGUUACUCGCAGAAUAAGCACCGGCUAACUCUGUGCCAGCCGCCGCAGUAA